This is an RNA transcript of Solanum dulcamara, 2714 nucleotides long. It is a transcript of the gene named replication protein A 70 kDa DNA-binding subunit A, with no coding region annotated. NCBI's taxonomy places the organism in Eukaryota, Viridiplantae, Streptophyta, Magnoliopsida, Solanales, Solanaceae. The transcript is spliced from 3 exons. The record is from RefSeq and is a predicted model, not a curated record.
UUAUCCUCAUCCACUAUACGUAUGUCGCUGCCCUCUUUCAUAAAUUCGUAAAUUCAUAGUGUUCACGAGAAAUUUCAUCACCAUUCUCAAAUUCAAACUAUUUCCAUACCCAAUCUGUUGUCGCUCGGAUCUUCUAACUUCCUGGAAUGCCGGUGAACUUGACGGCUAGCGCGAUCUCGGCGAUCAACGCCGGCGAUGUGAACUCAAAGCCAGUGGUUCAGGUAUUGGACAUCAAGCUAAUCGGCACCACACAAGAACGGUACCGACUCACGCUCUCCGACUCUGAGUCGACUCAGCAGGCUAUGCUGGCUACUCAGCUCAAUGACCGAGUCAAAACUGGCUGUGUUCGGAAAACAUCCGUCAUUCAGUUGAUUGAAUACAUCUGUAGCACUGUUCAAAAUCGCAAAAUCAUUGUUGUCCUCAACAUGGAAACUAUUAUACCAGAAUGUGAAAUAAUUGGGAACCCAAAAGUGAUUGUAGAAUCUAAUUUAGGAACUCAGAAAACUAUAUCUAGUGGAGCUUCUGGGUCUGCAAUCUUGAGUAACAAUGGUAACUUGAGUGCUCAAAGAUCUGGCCAAGCAAGCUUUGCUAACAGUAAAAAGUUGAGUGCCCAAAAUUUAGGUAAUAGCAUGCAGAACUAUCCACCUGCAAUUCAACCUGCAUAUCAACCUCCUCCAAAUUACAAAAGCCAUGGGGCAAUCAUGAAGAAUGAAGCACCCGCCCGCAUUAUUCCAAUUGCAGCAUUGAAUCCCUAUCAGGGUCGGUGGGCUAUUAAGGCUAGAGUGACUGCAAAGGGGGGUCUACGUCGCUAUAAUAAUUCUAGAGGAGAUGGCAAGGUCUUCUCCUUUGAUCUCCUUGACUCUGAUGGUGGUGAAAUACGUGCCACUUGUUUUAAUGCUGUAGUUGAUCGCUUUUAUGACAAAAUUGAAGCUGGAAAAGUGUACAUGAUAUCAAAAGGCAGCUUGAAACUCGCUCAGAAGAACUUCAACCAUCUGAAGAAUGAAUGGGAAAUAUUUUUGGAGACAACUUCUACAGUAGAUCUCUGUCCAGAUGAAGAUGCCUCUAUACCAAGACAACAGUUCUCAUUUAGACCUAUUAGUGAAAUUGAAAGUUCAGAAAACAAUUCAAUCAUAGAUGUUAUUGGAAUUGUGACAGCAGUCAAUCCUUCUGUUCCUAUCCUGAGAAAGAAUGGAAUGGAAACUCAAAGAAGAAUCUUGAAUUUAAAGGAUCAGUCUGGGAGAAGUGUUGAGCUGACACUAUGGGGAGAUUUCUGUAACAGGGAAGGUCAAAACCUGCAAGAACUGGCAGAAGCUGGUUUUUCCCCUGUUUUAGCUGUUAAAGCUGCAAAAGUUAGUGACUUCACUGGGAAAUCCAUUGGAACCAUAUCUUCCACGCAAAUGUUCAUAAAUCCAGAAUCUGCUGAGGUUCAGACUCUGAGAGAGUGGUUUGAUCAGGGGGGAAAAGACACUGCUUCUCAAUCUAUAUCUAGGGACAACAUGCCUGUAGGAUCAAAAAAUGAGAUACGUAAGACUGUCUCUCAGAUCAAGGAUGAAGGGCUUGGUAGGUCAGAUAAACCAGACUGGGUUACAGUUAAGGCAACCAUAACAUUCAUCAAAACUGACACUUUCUGUUAUACUGCUUGCCCUUUGAUGAUUGGAGAUAGACAAUGUAAUAAGAAGAUUACCAGGUCAGAAAACUCCAGAUGGCAAUGUGAUAGGUGCAAUCAAGCAUUUGAGGAAUGUGAUUACAGAUACCUUCUUCAAGCUCAAAUUCAAGAUCAUACUGGGUUGACAUGGGUGACAACUUUCCAGGAAUCUGGCGAAGAGAUUUUAGGCUGUCCUGCGAAGGAGCUGUACAUGAUGAAAUAUGAAGAAGCUGAUGAUACCAGAUUUUCUGAAAUUAUUAGAAACUGUCUCUUCACACAAUUUCUGUUCAGGCUAAAAAUCAAAGAGGAAUUUUAUGGUGAUGAGCAGAGGGUGAAAAUUACAGUUGUCAAGGCAGAGAAAGUGAACCAUUCUGCGGAAAGCAGAUAUCUCAUUGAUUUUAUUUCAAAAUUCCGUCUUUCUUGAACGAAGGAAGCCAGAUAAUAGAUUCUUAUUGCAUCCAUUUUUAGGCCAGCCAUUGGCCCUCUUUUCAGAGAGAUUUAGGCAGAAAGUCCUUGUUUUAGUCAGGUGAUUGUUCUUUUCAUUGCCAUAGAAAAGUAUAUUACUUGCAUUCUUGCUUAGAAAUCCCACUUACUGGUCUAAUGUAGUUUUAGUAUCCACUUCAUUUGGAAGGAUGACGGUCUCACCCCUUCCUGUGAGUUGAGUUUGCAGUACUACUCUCAUUAGCUUCAUCAACAAGGACAAUCAUUUUAUUGAUUUGGUAAAUCAUCUCCAUACCCUCCACCCCCUAAAUUCAUCCUCUCCACAUCCAACAGCGGUGUUCCUCACUUUUGCCGCCUUGUGAGUUUUCGUGCGAGAGCAGCAAAUGAUAGUGUUACGUGAUUCCUUUCAUAGGUGCGUUUCUUCACGCAAAAAAAAAAGAAGCAGCUAAAAUAAAGGUAUCACAUCGCUGGACUAACAGUUGAUUGGUUAAACAUUUUAUUGAUCUUGACUGGAAACAUGAGAUAGAUACAAGAAGAGAGUAGAGAUAUAUGAGAAUUAUGCUUCUUAAGUCCGCUUGACAGGGUCAAAAUUGGAAACACCAAUUAUUGCGCCAAGAAUUGCAGCAAG